Molecule: long non-coding RNA, 336 nt
Organism: Brassica rapa (field mustard)
Lineage: Eukaryota; Viridiplantae; Streptophyta; Magnoliopsida; Brassicales; Brassicaceae
Source: RefSeq, a predicted model, not a curated record
AGCGGGUCCAACGUAGGAGGACGUCAUCAUCCAGAUCCCGACUAAGCAUAGGGCCACAAACACAACAACAGUCACUGUCGAACAGUAGUUUGAGGAGGGCCUCCUGUUAUCUAACCUAGUGUACCUUACUUGUGCCAUGAUUCCAAUAACAAUACGUGUACACACGCCUACACAGAUAGAGAGAAACAAGGAAGAUAAAUGUUAGGCAAGCAAUCAAAAUCAUAUCCUGAGAGAUAUCAAGACAAGGCAACCAGAUCUCCGUAGAAUAAUCAUUGUUCUACAUUAUCGAGAUCAUCACUAAGCAAAUGCAAAAAAAAAAAAAAAAAAAAUCACAGU